Molecule: ribosomal RNA, 253 nt
Filed under: uncultured bacterium
Lineage: Bacteria
Description: partial 16S ribosomal RNA
Rfam family: Bacterial small subunit ribosomal RNA
Source: RNAcentral
GACAGAGGCCUCAAGCGUUAGGCGGAAUCACUGGGCUUAAAGCGUGUGUAGGCGGAUCGUUAAGUGUCUUGUGAAAUCCCACGGCUCACCCGUGGAACGGCUGGGCAUACUGGCGAUCUUGGGCCAACUAGGGGCAACUGGAACAAGCGGUGGAGCGGUGAAAUGCGUAGAUAUCGUCAGGAACGCCGGUGGUGAAGACGGGUGACUGGGCUAGUUCUGACACUGAGGCACGAAAGCGUGGGGAGCGAACGGG